CACAGCAAAAGACCAAUAAAUACCACAACAAAAGCCGCCCUCCUAGAAGCACAUUGAGCCACACUAUAACUAUAGCUGAACAACUGUUAGAACUAGUAACAAGAAACCUUCUCUCAGACACACCUGUGCCCCAGAAAUAGAAAGCCUGCUGGAUAUUAACAGACCAGACCCGGCACCAUGCCUCGCUCAUAAGGCCAACAAACUGUCAAACCAACACCGGAGUGCCAGAAAGAUAGAUUAAAAGUCAUAUAAGGAACUCAGCAAAACUUGUCCCAACUGUUUACCAAAAACAUAGCCUUUAGCCAAACAAGUAUUAAAGGUCCCGCCUGCCCAGUGAUAUAUUUCAACGGCCGCGGUAUUCUAACCGUGCAAAGGUAGCGUAAUCACU
RNAcentral lists this ribosomal RNA (388 nucleotides) under Dasia grisea. RNAcentral describes it as "partial 16S rRNA". The stretch from base 274 to 388 matches the Rfam family "Bacterial large subunit ribosomal RNA", at positions 1797 to 1969 of the family's 2925-position model. Lineage: Eukaryota; Metazoa; Chordata; Lepidosauria; Squamata; Scincidae. The record is from RNAcentral.